This is a non-coding RNA of Acanthosepion pharaonis, 103 nucleotides long. NCBI's taxonomy places the organism in Eukaryota, Metazoa, Mollusca, Cephalopoda, Sepiida, Sepiidae. The record is from the annotation of a GenBank genome assembly.
UACGCCCAGAUCGCGUUUAAACACAUGUUCCCGUACGAUCACCGAAGUUAAACAACGUCGAGUCCGGUCAGUACUUAGAUGGGUGACUGCUUGGGAAUACCAA